GGUGCCGGGCACGGCGGGCUCGGCAGCGCGGGGCAUGGCCCCGGGGAGCCGCUGGCGGGGUAAGGGCGGGUCCGCGGGACACCCCGGAGGGGAAAAGCAUUGCAGUGCUUCGCUCGGGAGGCUGGGGCCUGCGGGCUCCUUGCGUUUUCAGACCUACGUGCCACGAAAAAAGGGGUUUUUGGAAGUCACUGCAAAAGAAAGGUGUGUGUCCAGCCCACUGGCCUUGUCCUCCAUUGCCAGCACAAUGAAUGUUGUCUCUGCAAGCGCUCAUCACCAGCCUGGAAGAGUCCCUCAAUAACUGGAUAAGCAUCGCAGAAACACAACACUUUUUGUGCACCUUAGUCAGAGCAUUGGUCAAGCCAGUAAAGCCAAAAUUGCUUUCGAGUGGUGGUGUGGCAGUAAUGCUCCUGCGGCAUUGUUUGUGCAUGGGCUUCUCUUCACCUUUGGCUCUGUUUAAUCUCUUGUUUGGCAAAACAACACAGUGCUCCUCUC
Molecule: non-coding RNA, 492 nt
Organism: Phalacrocorax carbo (great cormorant)
Lineage: Eukaryota; Metazoa; Chordata; Aves; Suliformes; Phalacrocoracidae
Source: RefSeq, a predicted model, not a curated record